AUUUGACCUCAAAUCAGACAGGAUUACCCGCUGAACUUAAGCAUAUCAAUAAGCGGAGGAAAAGAAACCAACAGGGAUGGCUCUAGUAACGGCGAGUGAAGCAGCCAAAGCUCAAAUUUGAAAGCUCCUAACAAGGCGCAUUGUAAUUUGAAGAUGGUAUUCCGAGUUAGUCCUUUACCUCAGUUCCUUGGAACAGGACGCCAUAGAGGGUGAGAGCCCCGUGUGGUAUUGGUAGCUUUCUCAUGUGGUUUACCUUCGAAGAGUCGAGUUGUUUGGGAAAUGCA
Molecule: ribosomal RNA, 284 nt
Filed under: Tardiomyces blankii
Lineage: Eukaryota; Fungi; Ascomycota; Dipodascomycetes; Dipodascales; Trichomonascaceae
Description: [Candida] blankii partial 28S ribosomal RNA
Rfam family: Eukaryotic large subunit ribosomal RNA
Source: RNAcentral